RNAcentral lists this ribosomal RNA (330 nucleotides) under uncultured bacterium. RNAcentral's name for it is "bacterial SSU rRNA". It matches the Rfam family "Bacterial small subunit ribosomal RNA", at positions 568 to 898 of the family's 1533-position model. The record is from RNAcentral.
UCCGUAGGCGGUGUGGCAAGUCGGUAGUGAAAUCUCUCGGCUUAACUGAGAGGCUGCUGCCGAAACUGCCAUGCUCGAGUGCGAGAGAGGCGAGUGGAAUUGCGGGUGUAGCGGUGAAAUGCGUAGAUAUCCGCAGGAACAUCCGAGGCGAAAGCGGCUCGCUGGAUCGCAACUGACGCUGAGGGACGAAAGCUAGGGGAGCAAACAGGAUUAGAUACCCUGGUAGUCCCAGCCCUAAACCAUCAGGACUUGGGGUUUGCCCUGUACGGGGCAAGUCCCGGAGCUAACGCGUUAAGUCCUGCGCCUGGGGAGUACGGUCGCAAGGCUGAA